CCCAUCAUCUCAUUGCUAAUUAAUUGAGUGUCAAAAGAAAAUUAUAUAAAAAAGGUGAAGAUUAAAUUAAAUUGAAAGGGUUCUUACUUGUCUUCGAUCUUGAAUACUGGGUAAUACUGUGCGAUAUACAUGGCGACUUCCCAAGUAGUUGGAUUUAAGCAAAAAGAAGCCACGAAGACUGAGAAGUAAGAACUAGAAGAGAAGAAAAAAAAAAN
Molecule: long non-coding RNA, 215 nt
Filed under: Manihot esculenta (cassava)
Lineage: Eukaryota; Viridiplantae; Streptophyta; Magnoliopsida; Malpighiales; Euphorbiaceae
Description: long non-coding RNA (MESC_LNC000738)
Source: RNAcentral